ACUUAAAGAGGGGCUUGCGCCACAUUAGUUAGUUGGUAGGGUAAAAGCCUACCAAGAYGAUGAUGUGUAGCUGAACUGAGAGGUUGAACAGCCACAUUGGGACUGAGACACGGCCCAAACUCCUACGGGAGGCAGCAGUAGGGAAUUUUCGGCAAUGGAGGAAACUCUGACCGAGCAACGCCGCGUGAACGAUGAAGUACUUCGGUAUGUAAAGUUCUUUUAUCGAAGAAGAAAACGUAGUGGAAAAACUACCUUGACGCUAUUCGAUGAAUAAGCCCCGGCUAACUAUGUGCCAGCAGCCGCGGUAAUACAUAGGGGGCGAGCGUUAUCCGGAAUUAUUGGGCGUAAAGGGUGCGUAGGCGGUUUGAUAAGUCUCUAGUUUAAAUUCAGUGCUUAACGCUGUCCUGCUAGAGAAACUGUCUGACUUGAGUAAGAUAGAGGCAAGCGGAAUUCCAUGUGUAGCGGUAAAAUGUGUAAAUAUAUGGAGGAACACCAGAGGCGUAGGCGGCUUGCUGGGUCUUUACUGACGCUGAGGCACGAAAGCGUGGGGAGCAAACAGGAUUAGAUACCCUGGUAGUCCACGCCGUAAACGAUGAGUACUAAGUGUCGGGGUUCAUCCCUCGGUACUGAAGUCAACACAUUAAGUACUCCGCCUGAGUAGUACGUACGCAAGUAUGAAACUUAAAGGAAUUGACGGGAUCCCGCACAAGCGGUGGAUCAUGUUGUUUAAUUCGAAGAUACACGAAAAACCUUACC
RNAcentral lists this ribosomal RNA (756 nucleotides) under 'Cocos nucifera' lethal yellowing phytoplasma. Its description in RNAcentral is "bacterial SSU rRNA". It matches the Rfam family "Bacterial small subunit ribosomal RNA", at positions 217 to 975 of the family's 1533-position model. The record is from RNAcentral. Lineage: Bacteria; Bacillati; Mycoplasmatota; Mollicutes; Acholeplasmatales; Acholeplasmataceae.